This is a long non-coding RNA of Juglans microcarpa x Juglans regia, 284 nucleotides long. RefSeq lists it as uncharacterized. Lineage: Eukaryota; Viridiplantae; Streptophyta; Magnoliopsida; Fagales; Juglandaceae. The record is from RefSeq and is a predicted model, not a curated record. The transcript is spliced from 2 exons.
UGUGUCAGCCAGAUCAACACGAAGAAGCCAUCCACAUUUUGCCUCUCAUCAGAUACUGUAUACAUAAACAGAGAAUGAAAUUUAAAGACAGCAAAAAUAAAUGAAGAUUUAGAAAUGAAUGGAGGCAAGAACAGCAGCAAAGGAAUGACGAUUUAGCCAAGUUUCCGAAGCAAAAUUUAUUUCUUUUAAUGCAAAUAGUGAUGUAAAUUUUUUAUUUUUUAUUUUCAUUGCAUAUAUGUAAAUAACUUAAGAAAGUAGUGAGAAAACAGGAAAACAAAAACUGA